RNAcentral lists this non-coding RNA (45 nucleotides) under Schistosoma margrebowiei. The record is from RNAcentral. Lineage: Eukaryota; Metazoa; Platyhelminthes; Trematoda; Strigeidida; Schistosomatidae.
AUCUGGUUGACGAGUCUCGAAUAGAACGAAACGCACGUUCUUGAU